RNAcentral lists this long non-coding RNA (381 nucleotides) under Ananas comosus (pineapple). RNAcentral's name for it is "long non-coding RNA (ACOM_LNC000747)". Lineage: Eukaryota; Viridiplantae; Streptophyta; Magnoliopsida; Poales; Bromeliaceae. The record is from RNAcentral.
AUCCUUCAAAACUUUUAAAAUAUUUUAUUUAUCUUUACUUAUUUUUUUUUUCUUUCCAAUAUACCCCUCAUAUGUUUCUCUAUUAUUCCAAAAUACUUCUACAAUUAUCAUCCGUUAAGUUAAUUUGGAUUAAACGUGAGUUAAAUAUCUAGCACAGUUAAAAAAAAAUUAAAAUGCCACUUUUGUUCUUAACUUAAGGGCAAAUAAGAAAUGUUGGUGAUGGUAGAAGAGUAUAUUUGAAAAGACCAAAAAGUAAAAUAUAUUUUGUAUCCCCUAACUUAAGAGCAAAUAAGAAAAGCCAGUAAUAUAUGGUAGAAGGAUAUAUUUUAUAGAGAUAAUAUAAUUCAUUAACAAAUUUUAAUUCUAGCGAUAUANUUUAUA